AAGAAACUUGGCAUAUUCUAUUCUUGCAUUCAGCCUCCUUUUCAGUGCUUCCUGCUCUUUCAUCUUAUCUUGAAAGGUUGAUGGCAACAUGUUGGGGAACAAUUUCAGGAAUACUGGUAGCAGAAAUUCCAUGAAUGGAACAAUGAUAAAGACUGCAAAGGGUACUAGUCUAAAAAUGUCUGCAGUGGUACGGGUAAGCUGUUGCCUCUCCCUUCUGGAUAAACUCCUCCCACCAGCAAGUUUUAAUAGCAAUCUUGAACUGAUCCUCACAUCAGCCCACAGAAGCUUAAAACCUAACCAGUAAUGUUUCAAUGUUGAGACAAAUUCAUGUUUCCAGUGAGCAAGUUUCUUGGCCCAGUCCUCCCUGCUCAUAGAAGCUACAGCCCUUAAAGCAGGACCAAUCCCAAGCAGCAAAGCCCAUGUUCUUUGUAAAAUUGAUUUAGCCACCUUUUGAGAUUCAUGCAAACGUAUGGCUUUCACUUUGGCUUUUGCUGAACUCAAACCUUCAACAGCUUGAUCACAUUCUUCAGGAGAUGCUUCCUUUCUCUUUCUAGCAACUAUUUCUUCAUUUUCUUCAUCACUCCCCAAGUCAGGUUGCUUAGCCGUAGCAGUUGAUGCAUCACGAACAGAAAGUGACAUCAACCUCAUUGGAUAAAGAAACUCUGUUUGCACACGGCCAUGACCCAAAAUUGCAGUACUGUAAAAUCUAUGCCUAAACUGCCCUACGCCUGAAAAGCCAAGUAAUCCUGCUCUUGCCACUAAAUUUCUAUUUGGCUCCUUUACAUAAUUAAAAUUUGAAGAUGAUUGUUUUGCAGUAUCAUUAUAUCUGCAGGCAUCCAAAUUCUGAGUUGCAUGACCAAGGCAUUGGAAGCUCUGAAUUGAGCGAGUUGAGGCAUUCAGGUAAUCAGAAAUCACUCUCUUCCGUCUUAAAAUUGCUCUAGAAGCCAUUUGUUAGAUCCCUUGUUGCAAAGAGAAAUGCGUUCGCAUUUAUUAGCAAACCUCUCAAUUGUGAGUUCUCAAACAAGAAACUCAGUGCCAGUGAUCGAGAGAUGAAUAAAUCAGAGGAAUGGGAAAAAAUUAAGGACUUGAAGAGUAAAAACUUUUUAAAUAGAAAAAACUGCAAUUUCUUAUUAGGGCCGCAGCCUGCAAGACUGGGGGUUUUAGAAGGGGAUGGGAAAGGAGAUCUUCUGCGGCGCAGGUGCACGACUAUA
This 1211-nucleotide unclassified non-coding RNA is filed under the name Hevea brasiliensis (rubber tree). The record is from RNAcentral. Lineage: Eukaryota; Viridiplantae; Streptophyta; Magnoliopsida; Malpighiales; Euphorbiaceae.